UACGGAGGAUGCAAGCGUUAUCCGGAAUUAUUGGGCGUAAAGCGUCCGCAGGUGGCACUUCAAGUCUGCUGUCAAAGACCGGGGCUUAACCCUGGAAAGGCAGUGGAAACUGAAGCGCUAGAGUGUGGCAGGGGUAGAGGGAAUUCCCAGUGUAGCGGUGAAAUGCGUAGAGAUCGGGAAGAACAUCGGUGGCGAAAGCGCUCUACUGGGCCAUAACUGACACUCAGGGACGAAAGCUAGGGGAGCGAAUGGG
This 253-nucleotide ribosomal RNA is filed under the name uncultured bacterium. Its description in RNAcentral is "partial 16S ribosomal RNA". It matches the Rfam family "Bacterial small subunit ribosomal RNA", at positions 524 to 776 of the family's 1533-position model. The record is from RNAcentral.